UUACUCUGGUUUCCCAUCAAAACGGAUAAAUCUUUCGCCUUUUACUAAAGAUUUCCGUGGUGGGGAGCAAUCAAAUGAGUCUUAUUCAUUUUUUGCAAGUCUCGCGCAAGCGGGAUU
This is a small nuclear RNA of Galleria mellonella (greater wax moth), 117 nucleotides long. RefSeq annotates it as U5 spliceosomal RNA. The transcript has a single exon. The record is from RefSeq and is a predicted model, not a curated record. NCBI's taxonomy places the organism in Eukaryota, Metazoa, Arthropoda, Insecta, Lepidoptera, Pyralidae.